AUGCCGAUCCUCCUUUUCCUCAUAGACACGUCCGCCUCCAUGAACCAGCGGGCGUAUCUGGGCACCAGCUACCUGGACGUGGCCAAGGGCGCCGUCGAGCUCUUCAUGAAGCUGAGGGCCCGAGACCCGGCCAGCCGCGGCGACAGGUACAUGCUGGUCACCUUCGACGAGGCGCCUUAUUGCAUCAAGGCUGGAUGGAAGGAGAACCACGCCACUUUCAUGAACGAACUGAAAAACCUGCAAGCAUCCGGGUUGACCACCCUUGGCCAGGCUCUGCGAUCUUCCUUUGACCUGCUGAACCUCAACAGAUUAGUCUCUGGAAUAGACAACUAUGGGCAGGGGAGGAAUCCUUUUUUUUUAGAGCCAUCGAUUUUAAUUACCAUCACAGAUGGAAACAAGCUGACAAAUACUUCUUCUGUUCAAGAGGAGCUCCAUCUGCCUCUGAAUUCUCCCCUGCCUGGUAGCGAGCUAACCAAAGAACCGUUUCGCUGGGAUCAACGGCUGUUUGCCCUCGUGCUGCGCUUGCCCGGAGCCCCUUCAGUGGAACCUGAGCAGCUGGGGAGCGUUCCCACAGAUGAGUCUGCCAUCACACAGAUGUGCGAAGUCACUGGAGGGCGCUCGUAUUGUGUUCGGACACAGCGCAUGUUGAACCAAUGCUUAGAAUCCCUUGCUCAGAAGGUUCAGAGUGGUGUGGUCAUUAAUUUUGAAAAAUCGGGACCAGAUCCUCCUCACAUUGGGGAAGAUGGACCGGUGGAUGCCACAAGGCCUGUCAAUUCCUUCGGUUCUCAGCCAUGGCACAGCUGUCAUAAACUCAUCUAUGUGCGGCCAAACCCUAAGACGGGUGUGCCUGUUGGCCAUUGGCCAAUUCCUGAAUCAUUUUGGCCUGAUCAGAAUUCCCCAACGCUGCCCCCUCGCACUGCGCAUCCGGUGGUGAGGUUCUCCUGCAUGGAUUGCGAACCCAUGGUGAUUGAUAAACUGCCGUUCGACAAGUACGAAUUGGAACCGUCGCCUUUAACGCAGUACAUCUUGGAACGGAAGUUGUCUCACGUGUGCUGGCAGGUCUUUGUGAGCAGCAGCGCCAAAUACAGCGAGCUCGGACACCCCUUUGGUUAUUUAAAGGCCAGCACCAGUCUGACCUGUGUCAAUCUCUAUGUGAUGCCUUACAACUACCCCGUUCUGCUCCCGCUGCUCGAUGACCUUUUCAAGUUUCACAAACUUAAGCCAAAUCUGAAGUGGCGACAGGCAUUGGACAGCUACAUAAAAACCAUGCCUCCUUACUACUUAGUGCCAUUAAAGAAAGCCCUAAGGAUGAUGGGAGCUCCAAAUCUGAUAUCAGAUAAUUUAGAUUGUGGACUUAGUUACAGUGUUAUCUCUUACCUUAAAAAACUCAGCCAACAGACGAAAAUAGAGUCGGAGCGGAUAAUCGGGUCGGUGGGUAAGAAACCCCCGCAAGAGACGGGCAUUAAAGUGAAGAGUCACUCCAGUGGCCUGUCCCUCAUCCAGAGCAGGGAUUUCAAGCAGCUGCUUCAAGGGAUUUCUGGCGACUCCCCGCUGAGGCUGCCUGAAAUGAACGUGAAGGAAUUUGCUGGCUUCCAGAUAGGGCUCCUGAAUAAGGAUCUAAAGCCACAGGCCUACCGCAAUGCUUACGACAUUCCGCGCCGCAGCCUUUUAGACCAGCUGACCCGGAUGAGAACUAACCUGUUGAAAACACACAAGGUCAUUCAAGGCCAGGAUGAAGAUUGCCUUCACAGUGUCCCCGUAGCACAGAUGGGGAACUAUCAGGAAUACCUAAAGAUGAUGCCUUCUCCUCUUCGAGAAAUUGACCCCGACCAGCCCAAAAGGCUUCACACGUUCGGAAACCCUUUCAAGCAGGAUAAAAAGGGAAUGAUGAUUGACGAAGCGGAUGAAUUUGUCGCCGGUCCUCAGAACAAAGUCAAACGUCCCGGAGAGCCCAACACACCGGCCUCCCUCAAGAGAAGGCGCAACAUGUCCCCAUUCUUGAGACGGCCGCAGUCGCCGCCAGUCGUAGCCAACCACGUUGGCGGAAAGGGGUCGCCCUCAGCCGCUGGGCCCCCACCCAACCCCAAUACUAAAGCUACACCAGCUUAUAAAGAUGCAAACAGCAAUACGGUUCAAGAUGGCAACGGUGAAAAGAAAGCCGAGAAUUUCCAGCCGCCGGACAAACCCGGGGAUGGACCUUUGGUGCAUCUUGUUCCUCCGUCCCCGGCUGCCGUGGUGGACGACGAACUGCCAAACGAUAUGGACUCUUUGACCGGCGAACUGAACUGUGUUGGGGAAGAUGGACUGGACCCCAAGCCUGCGGUCAAUUCCCUCGUACGGGGCCCUAUAAACUACAGUAUGUCCGCCGAAGACCAAAAACUACUGGUGGAGCCAGCAUCGGGAACAGUGCCAAAUUCAGUGAAAAUCACAUCCAAUAUGUUUGAAGGGAACAACGAGGUUAUCAAAAUCAAGGUUAUGAAGGAGGUUCGCAAACCCGGGAGAAAUUAUGAAAAAAUCUUCUCUCUCCUCGAAGAAAUACAAGGCCCUGUAGAGGUUCAAAAAUAUUUCAUUGAAUUUGCUAUCAAAGAAGCAACAAGGUUUAAAAAACGGGUCUUAAUUCAGCACUUAGAAAGAAUACUAGAGGAAAUAGAGUUCAGCAGCCUUCCCAACCGAAUUAAUCAUGUCAACAGUAGAUAAUAAUAGCGUGCCGGCCAGAGGAACGGACGGGGUCCAGCCGAUGGGAGUUUGCUGUGCCGUGGAGGAACGGAAGAGGACGUGGCAGCCGUGGCCUGCGCCAGCCUGGCAGGCGAGCGGCUUUCCGGUGGGCGUCUCAGAAGAAGCAGGGUGAUGUCUGUACGCAUUGCGCACCUCUUUGGCCGGACACCUGAGGAAUUGGCCGCAGGAGGUGUGUGGCUUCCUCCCUCCCCACCCACCUUCGGAGGGGCUGACCUGGGCCCCGGGCCGGAGACAGACACUCAGUGCCGCCCCCUGGGCCCUGCAGACGUUCUUGCAAGCACGUCCGAGGCUCCCCAGGUCCAGGCUUCAGUUCUCUUUCAUCUUGGUGAGGAGGACGGAGACGCUUCUCGUGGACUUGGCUUUGGGGUGGGGUGGGUGAGGUGGGGGCGCUUCUUAGAAAGAAACUCGGGGGUUUAGGGACAAAAACAAAAAGGCAGGAAAAAAAAAGAAAACCUCCCCCUUCCCCAACCCUUCAAAUGAAUUUUACUUUUUAAAUGUUCAUACCAGAAGAAAUUAUUUUGGACAGUGUUGUUUAACAAGAUCCUUAAUUUGAGAUAUCAGAUGGCAUGUGUGCGUGUGUGUGUGUGUGCGUAUAGACUAUAUAUGUAUAUAUAUAUAUACG
Molecule: non-coding RNA, 3358 nt
Organism: Pseudonaja textilis
Lineage: Eukaryota; Metazoa; Chordata; Lepidosauria; Squamata; Elapidae
Source: RefSeq, a predicted model, not a curated record